This is a non-coding RNA of Podarcis lilfordi (Lilford's wall lizard), 80 nucleotides long. The record is from the annotation of a GenBank genome assembly. NCBI's taxonomy places the organism in Eukaryota, Metazoa, Chordata, Lepidosauria, Squamata, Lacertidae.
GCUCACACCCAACCAUAGUUCAGUGGUAGAACAUCUGCUUUGCAUGCAGAGGGUGCCAGGUUCAAACUCUGGCAUCUCCA